Molecule: ribosomal RNA, 253 nt
Filed under: uncultured microorganism
Description: partial 16S ribosomal RNA
Rfam family: Archaeal small subunit ribosomal RNA
Source: RNAcentral
UACCAGCCCCGCGAGUGGUCGGGACGGUUAUUGGGCCUAAAGCGCCCGUAGCCGGCCUAGCAAGUCUCCGCGGAAAUCCCCGGGCCUAACCCGGGGGCUUGCGGAGAUACUGCUAGGCUAGGGGGCGGGAGAGGCCGGGGGUACUCCCGGGGUAGGGGCGAAAUCCUAUAAUCCCGGGAGGACCACCAGUGGCGAAGGCGCCCGGCUGGAACGCGCCCGACGGUGAGGGGCGAGAGCGUGGGGAGCAAACAGG